RNAcentral lists this ribosomal RNA (1376 nucleotides) under uncultured bacterium. RNAcentral's name for it is "bacterial SSU rRNA". It matches the Rfam family "Bacterial small subunit ribosomal RNA". The record is from RNAcentral.
AGAGUUUGAUCCUGGCUCAGGACGAACGCUGGCGGCGCGCCUAACACAUGCAAGUCGAACGAGCGAGAGAGAGCUUGCUUUCUCGAGCGAGUGGCGAACGGGUGAGUAACGCGUGAGGAACCUGCCUCAAAGAGGGGGACAACAGUUGGAAACGACUGCUAAUACCGCAUAAGCCCACAGGUCGGCAUCGACCAGAGGGAAAAGGAGCAAUCCGCUUUGAGAUGGCCUCGCGUCCGAUUAGCUAGUUGGUGAGGUAACGGCCCACCAAGGCAACGAUCGGUAGCCGGACUGAGAGGUUGAACGGCCACAUUGGGACUGAGACACGGCCCAGACUCCUACGGGAGGCAGCAGUGGGGAAUAUUGCACAAUGGGGGAAACCCUGAUGCAGCGACGCCGCGUGGAGGAAGAAGGUCUUCGGAUUGUAAACUCCUGUUGUUGAGGAAGAUAAUGACGGUACUCAACAAGGAAGUGACGGCUAACUACGUGCCAGCAGCCGCGGUAAAACGUAGGUCACAAGCGUUGUCCGGAAUUACUGGGUGUAAAGGGAGCGCAGGCGGGAAGACAAGUUGGAAGUGAAAUCUAUGGGCUCAACCCAUAAACUGCUUUCAAAACUGUUUUUCUUGAGUAGUGCAGAGGUAGGCGGAAUUCCCGGUGUAGCGGUGGAAUGCGUAGAUAUCGGGAGGAACACCAGUGGCGAAGGCGGCCUACUGGGCACCAACUGACGCUGAGGCUCGAAAGUGUGGGUAGCAAACAGGAUUAGAUACCCUGGUAGUCCACACCGUAAACGAUGAUUACUAGGUGUUGGAGGAUUGACCCCUUCAGUGCCGCAGUUAACACAAUAAGUAAUCCACCUGGGGAGUACGACCGCAAGGUUGAAACUCAAAGGAAUUGACGGGGGCCCGCACAAGCAGUGGAGUAUGUGGUUUAAUUCGACGCAACGCGAAGAACCUUACCAAGUCUUGACAUCCCUUGACGAUGCUGGAAACAGUAUUUCUCUUCGGAGCAAGGAGACAGGUGGUGCAUGGUUGUCGUCAGCUCGUGUCGUGAGAUGUUGGGUUAAGUCCCGCAACGAGCGCAACCCUUAUCUUUAGUAGCCAGCGGUCCGGCCGGGCACUCUAGAGAGACUGCCAGGGAUAACCUGGAGGAAGGCGGGGAUGACGUCAAAUCGUCAUGCCCCUUAUGAUUUGGGCUACACACGUGCUACAAUGGCGUAAACAAAGGGAAGCGAGAUUGUGAGAUGGAGCAAAUCCCAAAAAUAACGUCCCAGUUCGGACUGUAGUCUGCAACCCGACUACACGAAGCUGGAAUCGCUAGUAAUCGCGGAUCAGAAUGCCGCGGUGAAUACGUUCCCGGGUCUUGCACUCACCGCCCGUCAA